RNAcentral lists this long non-coding RNA (285 nucleotides) under Mytilus galloprovincialis (Mediterranean mussel). Lineage: Eukaryota; Metazoa; Mollusca; Bivalvia; Mytilida; Mytilidae. The record is from RNAcentral.
GUUGUUACAUAAUAACAUUAUGAGAACGAGUGCCUAUUUAUCGAAACCGUGUCUUAAGAUUGGCCCUAUAUGAUAUUCUUACGACAGCAUUAUUAUUAUAUUAAAGAUAGGACCGACUUACGACAUUUCUUAGCAUGCACAUCGAAUCUAUCUUAGGAUUAUCUUAGCUAGGAUGUCCUAACCGCUGUCCUACGUAUUGGCGUAAAAGAAAAAAGAAAAUGAAACAUUGUAUCAAAUUUAACCGACAACUUUUAUUUAAAAACUUAUUAAUUAUCAGAAAAUAAU